RNAcentral lists this ribosomal RNA (406 nucleotides) under uncultured bacterium. RNAcentral's name for it is "partial 16S ribosomal RNA". It matches the Rfam family "Bacterial small subunit ribosomal RNA", at positions 30 to 526 of the family's 1533-position model. The record is from RNAcentral.
AUUGAACGCUGGCGGCAGGCCUAACACAUGCAAGUCGAACGAGUGGCGGACGGGUGAGUAAUGUCUGUGAAACUGCCUGAUGGUGGGGGAUAACUACUGGAAACGGUUGCUAAUACCGCAUACCAUCGGAUGAGCCCAUAUGGGAUUAGCAAGUAGGUGGGGUAAAGGCUCACCAAGGCGACGCUCCCUAGCUGGUUUUAGAGGGGGACCAGCCACACUGGAACUGAGACAUGGUCCAGAGUCAUACGGGAGGCAGCAGUGGGGAAUAUUGCAAAAUGGGCGCAAGCCUGAUGCAGCCAUGACGCGUGUAUGAUGAAGGCCUUCGGGUUGUAAAGUACUUUCAGCGGGGAGUCGUUACCCGCAGAAGAAGCACCGGACAACUACGUGCCAGCAGCCGCGGUAAUAC